RNAcentral lists this long non-coding RNA (282 nucleotides) under Mytilus galloprovincialis (Mediterranean mussel). The record is from RNAcentral. Lineage: Eukaryota; Metazoa; Mollusca; Bivalvia; Mytilida; Mytilidae.
GAUCUUGAAUAUUAUUAUAGAUAGAGAUAAACUGUAAACAGCAAUAAUGUACAGCAAAGUAAUACCUAAAAAUAAGUCAACAUGACCAAAAUGGUCAAUUGACCCCCUAAGGAGUUAUUGUCCUUUAUAGUCAAUUUUUAACAAUUUUCAUAAAAUUUGUUAAUUUUUACUAACAUUUUCCACUGAAACUACUUGGCUAAGUUCAUUAUAGAUAGAAAUAAUUGUAAGCAGCAAGAAUGUUCAGUAAAGUAAGAUGUACAAACACAUCACCAUCACCAAAAC